Molecule: ribosomal RNA, 293 nt
Filed under: uncultured eukaryote
Lineage: Eukaryota
Description: partial 18S ribosomal RNA
Rfam family: Bacterial small subunit ribosomal RNA
Source: RNAcentral
CAAAUGAAUAGACGGGGACUCGCACAAGCGGUGGAGCAUGCGGUUUAAUUCGAGGCAACGCGAAGAACCUUACCAGGUCUUGACAUCCCGCUGACCGGUCUAGAAAUAGGCCUUUCCUUCGGGACGGCGGUGACAGGUGGUGCAUGGUUGUCGUCAGCUCGUGUCGUGAGAUGUUGGGUUAAGUCCCGCAACGAGCGCAACCCUUAUCAUUAGUUGCUAACAUUAAGUUGAGGACUCUAAUGAGACCGCCGGUGACAAACCGGAUGAAGGUGAGGAUGACGUCAAAUCAUCAU